AAUACGUAGGGUGCGAGCGUUGUCCGGAAUUAUUGGGCGUAAAGGGCUCGUAGGCGGUUUGUCGCGUCGGGAGUGAAAUCCACUGGCUUAACUGGUGGCUUGCUUUCGAUACGGGCAGACUGGAGGUAUGCAGGGGAGAACGGAAUUCCUGGUGUAGCGGUGAAAUGCGCAGAUAUCAGGAGGAACACCGGUGGCGAAGGCGGUUCUCUGGGCAUGUCCUGACGCUGAGGAGCGAAAGUGUGGGGAGCGAACAG
Molecule: ribosomal RNA, 254 nt
Filed under: uncultured prokaryote
Description: partial 16S ribosomal RNA
Rfam family: Bacterial small subunit ribosomal RNA
Source: RNAcentral